AAAUUUAAUAAAGCAAACGGUGCUUUUCUCUGAGCUAUCAGAUGAAAAGGUAAAAGGGAAACAGGUCAGAAUCCUGUGCGAUCUCGUCACUGUAAUUGCGGAGCGGUAUACGAAUAUAGUCACUGAGCAAUCGGGAAGGCUGUAUGCCGUGUUGAUGUAUAAGUCAGGAAACCUGCCGUUUGUUGGUACACGAC
RNAcentral lists this non-coding RNA (194 nucleotides) under Ruminococcus flavefaciens. Lineage: Bacteria; Bacillati; Bacillota; Clostridia; Eubacteriales; Oscillospiraceae. The record is from RNAcentral.